This 465-nucleotide ribosomal RNA is filed under the name uncultured Klebsiella sp. Its description in RNAcentral is "bacterial SSU rRNA". It matches the Rfam family "Bacterial small subunit ribosomal RNA", at positions 338 to 795 of the family's 1533-position model. The record is from RNAcentral. Lineage: Bacteria; Pseudomonadati; Pseudomonadota; Gammaproteobacteria; Enterobacterales; Enterobacteriaceae.
UCUACGGGUGGCUGCAGUGGGGAAUAUUGCACAAUGGGCGCAAGCCUGAUGCAGCCAUGCCGCGUGUGUGAAGAAGGCCUUCGGGUUGUAAAGCACUUUCAGCGGGGAGGAAGGCGGUGGGGUUAAUAACCUCAUCGAUUGACGUUACCCGCAGCAGAAGCACCGGCUAACUCCGUGCCAGCAGCCGCGGUAAUACGGAGGGUGCAAGCGUUAAUCGGAAUUACUGGGCGUAAAGCGCACGCAGGCGGUCUGUCAAGUCGGAUGUGAAAUCCCCGGGCUCAACCUGGGAACUGCAUUCGAAACUGGCAGGCUAGAGUCUUGUAGAGGGGGGUAGAAUUCCAGGUGUAGCGGUGAAAUGCGUAGAGAUCUGGAGGAAUACCGGUGGCGAAGGCGGCCCCCUGGACAAAGACUGACGCUCAGGUGCGAAAGCGUGGGGAGCAAACAGGAUUAGAUACCCCGGUAGUC